AAUUCUCCGUCAAAGCAUAGACAACGGCUGUUCUACAUGGAGCAUACACCAAAAAUGAGCUGGGCCGGUCAUCAUACCAUCCAUCCUGCAAAAGUAAAAUAUUCUGCCCUGUGAUCAAUUCUACCAAAGCCACCAAAUAGUUUAUCAUCUGAAUCCAAGACCACCUGGAAGAAAUUGUAUAAACACAAAUGAGUCCAUAUGGAUUAGUGAUUGGAAAGCAUAA
Telopea speciosissima is the source of this 223-nucleotide long non-coding RNA. RefSeq lists it as uncharacterized. The record is from RefSeq and is a predicted model, not a curated record. NCBI's taxonomy places the organism in Eukaryota, Viridiplantae, Streptophyta, Magnoliopsida, Proteales, Proteaceae. The transcript has 2 exons.